This 505-nucleotide ribosomal RNA is filed under the name uncultured bacterium. Its description in RNAcentral is "partial 16S ribosomal RNA". It matches the Rfam family "Bacterial small subunit ribosomal RNA", at positions 29 to 523 of the family's 1533-position model. The record is from RNAcentral.
AGUGAACGCUGGCGGUAGGCCUAGCACAUGCAAGUCGAACGGCAGCACAGAGGAGCUUGCUCCUUGGGUGGCGAGUGGCGGACGGGUGAGGAAUACAUCGGAAUCUACUCUGUCGUGGGGGAUAACGUAGGGAAACUUACGCUAAUACCGCAUACGACCUACGGGUGAAAGCAGGGGACCUUCGGGCCUUGCGCGAUUGAAUGAGCCGAUGUCGGAUUAGCUAGUUGGCGGGGUAAAGGCCCACCAAGGCGACGAUCCGUAGCUGGUCUGAGAGGAUAAUCAGCCACAAUGGAACUGAGACACGGGCCAGACUCCACGGGAGGCAGCAGUGGGGAAUAUUGGACAAUGGGCGCAAGCCUGAUCCAGCCAUACCGCGUGGGUGAAGAAGGCCUUCGGGUUGUAAAGCCCUUUUGUUGGGAAAGAAAUCCAGCUGGCUAAUACCCGGUUGGGACGACGGUACCCAAAGAAUAAGCACCGGCUAACUUCGUGCCAGCCGCCGCGGUAA